This 85-nucleotide transfer RNA is filed under the name Clostridiales bacterium. RNAcentral's name for it is "tRNA-Leu". It matches the Rfam family "tRNA". Rfam says of the family: Transfer RNA (tRNA) molecules are approximately 80 nucleotides in length. Their secondary structure includes four short double-helical elements and three loops (D, anti-codon, and T loops). The record is from RNAcentral. Lineage: Bacteria; Bacillati; Bacillota; Clostridia; Eubacteriales. RNAcentral also lists the same sequence under 2 other names.
GCGGGUAUGGCGGAAUUGGCAGACGCGCAAGAUUUAGGAUCUUGUAUCGCAAGAUGUGCAGGUUCGACCCCUGUUACCCGCACCA